GCCUGGCCUCCGCGGUUGGUUCGGCGGCCGCGGGGCUGCAGCUCCCGGCUCGCACUCCAUCAUCGACGGAUGACAGCGGGAACGGUGGGAGUUCAUUACAGGGACCAUGAAUUGUUGGAGAGGAAUCUGAAGAAACGUGCUGGAUGUCCCCAGAGAAGGAGCUGAACCAUUUGAGUGGGGGCUUCACUGACUCUCCCCACACACAGGGCACCGGGGGAGAGCAGUCACAUGACCGGCAGGCGGGGGUUUUGACCCUGGUGGGAGGGGAUGAGGAGGGCACCAGUCCGGCCCUGAGACAACCCCCAAGACCAGCCCUGACUGGGACACUCUGCAGGAUGUCAAGCAGUGCCCCCAAAAGCUGUCAAGGCCGUCCUAGACCAGCGGGGCCUCAGGAGAUGGUGCAGAGUCCUGGACCAGACAAACGGCACUGGGAAAGCAGGAGCCCAAAGGAAGGCUGGAAUUCAGGGAAGAGCCACGUGCCAGGCUGUGACGAAGGCGACAAGAUGAAACAGUAGGGGGGCGGGGGAGGCAUCCAAACUCUAUGUGCUGUCUUUGCACUACUCUGUAAAUCUAACAUUAUUCGGAAGUGAAAGUUAAAAAUCA
This 603-nucleotide long non-coding RNA is filed under the name Homo sapiens (human). RNAcentral's name for it is "non-protein coding lnc-FAM53A-1:9". Lineage: Eukaryota; Metazoa; Chordata; Mammalia; Primates; Hominidae. The record is from RNAcentral.